GCUGGUGAUUCUGGCGGCUGGGAACUACCUGAUCCCAUCCCGAACUCAGAAGUAAAACCAGUCAGCGCCGAUGAUACUUUAAUGGGAAAGUAGGUCAUCGCCAGCA
RNAcentral lists this ribosomal RNA (106 nucleotides) under Candidatus Falkowbacteria bacterium RIFOXYA2_FULL_38_12. RNAcentral also lists the same sequence under 3 other names. The record is from RNAcentral. Lineage: Bacteria; Candidatus Falkowiibacteriota.